This is a long non-coding RNA of Suncus etruscus (white-toothed pygmy shrew), 1425 nucleotides long. RefSeq lists it as uncharacterized. The record is from RefSeq and is a predicted model, not a curated record. The transcript has 2 exons. NCBI's taxonomy places the organism in Eukaryota, Metazoa, Chordata, Mammalia, Eulipotyphla, Soricidae.
CAUGAAAACUCAGGAAGGCGACAGAGUCUGUGUGGGCUAUGGAAGUCCCAGCAGGUACUGAGAUUCUGAGCUCUCUUAGAAUUCAGGAGAGACACCUGAGCACUGCUGCAGUGACGUCUGCAGUAGGACAGCACAGGCGCCUCACUCAGAGCUCUAGUAUGUUUUCCUCUCUGCACUUAGUGGUCUUCCUUGCAGAUCCAAUAGCAGAGGGAUCCAGUAAAUGCAAAACCUCUCAAUGGGGCUACUUCCACAUGACCUGUCUUUCACACGGCUCCCAGGAGAGCAGAAAAGUGAGGAGUAUUAGAUAAAUCUCUCUAGUCACGAACAAGAAGGACCCAUUUGGUAGGUCCUGAAAUACUAGCUCUUGGGCUCUACCUCACAGCCUUAGGUAAAUGAAAGUGUUUCUCAGAGCAAUACAGAAACUUCCAUUCCAGAGUGGUGUUGGCAGAACUAUGUGAGUGCAGAAAUUGAAGAGGCAUCCUUGAGUGGCAGUCUUCUGAGAGAAACUGCAGGAAACCAGAGUUAUUUGUUGAGAACUGAGACAGUAACUGUGUCCCUUGACAGAGUCCCCCUCAGUGCAGCUUUCAAAGAUGGACUUGUUCAGAUGAGUCCCUGAUCCUUCCAAAUAUGGACUUUCUAAUGUCUUUGGAGAGAAGAGGGAGAUCUGGUUAUUUUAAAAUUGCAACGUUUCCCUUCUACCCCUAAACCCUCCCAGGUAUCCUUUUAUGGAAAGGAAAGAAGGCUACAACAGGCAGGCUGGGUGUACCUGCACCUUAAGCAUCACUUGGUGGGAGGCAUUGGGGAAGGGCCUGCCAAGCACCAAGGCAAAUACCUGAAUUGCCAGAGCUCAGUCAGGUUUCUGGCCUCCCUAGACCUCUUCUUAACGUGAUUAAUGGAAACCAAGAAUUUCUGACUCCCUUAAAGUGGUAGGUUUGGCCAUAAUAUCUUGAAAUCUUCCCUCAGGAAAUGUAGAAACCACUGUCUCAUGGAAUUUUAGUAAAAUCAUUUUGUAUAAUUUCAUUCACUGGAGGGGAAGGCUUUCCUAAUUAAGAAAUAAAUGUCAACCGGUCAUUAGUCCUCAAGAUAAGUGUAAAGGAAAUAACAGUGUCAACUUUGAAUUCUGCCUCAGAGCUGUGAGACUCUGAUUAUGAAAAAAAUACCUCAAGAAAACUGAGUGAUAGCACCACUAUCCCUUAAAGACGCCAGUCGCUGCGCAUCGUUUCAGCUGUGAAGCACACACAACCACAUAUCAUCUGAUUGUCUAGGUUUCCUGUUUACAUGGAUGCAGUAGAGCUAUGUUUUAGACCAAAUGUAUCAAUAAAUCUCUCUUGGUUGGGAUGCAGGGAUGGUAAUUAAUCUCAAAAUGUUAUCAGCUCACUGGAAUAUUGGUGUUUUGGACUUGAGACAGGAGGAGCAGGUUCUAAU